Molecule: microRNA precursor, 144 nt
Filed under: Retroperitoneal fibromatosis-associated herpesvirus
Lineage: Duplodnaviria; Heunggongvirae; Peploviricota; Herviviricetes; Herpesvirales; Orthoherpesviridae
Description: miRc-RF05
Source: RNAcentral
GAGAGGUAGCUGCGUGCCACGCUGACCGCUCUUGUGCAACGUGAUGGCACCUGGCCAAUGAGGCUUAAACGCUUAACUGGAUUUGUUUAAUCCUCUUUGGUGGGUUGCCAAGCUUGUGCUCAUUGGUCGGAGCAGCUGUCAAUC